CUCAAAUGGUCAGGGAAUCAAGAGAUGGAGGAAUGAGGAGAGGGAAAGGGGAGAAAAAAAGACUUAGGAGUGUUUGUACGUGUGCCAACUCUGCACUAGGAACGUAAAUACCAUGUUCUGCAAACAUGUACUAAUAAAAUUAAUGACGUCACAGCAUUCAGGGCUGCAAACCACUGGCUAAAGCAUAAUCCUUCUGUCACAAAUGUAAAUGAAGUGCUGGGGUGUAGCUCAGUCACAAAGGCCCUGCGUGGGUGCCACACCCAGAACCAGGCCCUGGGUCCCACUCACAGCACUACAAAAACCAACAAAUGGGCCGGGGAUGUAGCUCAGGAGCACCCUAUAAAUGAGCGUUCACAGAAAGUAAAAGUGAAGAGUGGGAGAGAAACUGGCUCUGCAGAGCAAGCUUGUGCCAAGGAAAGAGAAAAAGAGGUGAAAUGGAGCAAGAAUCAACUGAUACAGAUACCGGGAAUGCAGACAAAAGAGGUGACAAGAGUGGCCUGCCACAC
This 506-nucleotide long non-coding RNA is filed under the name Fukomys damarensis (Damara mole-rat). RNAcentral describes it as "lncRNA (ENSFDAG00000031932.1)". The record is from RNAcentral. Lineage: Eukaryota; Metazoa; Chordata; Mammalia; Rodentia; Bathyergidae.